This 443-nucleotide ribosomal RNA is filed under the name uncultured bacterium. RNAcentral describes it as "bacterial SSU rRNA". It matches the Rfam family "Bacterial small subunit ribosomal RNA", at positions 53 to 498 of the family's 1533-position model. The record is from RNAcentral.
ACAUGCAAGUCGAGUGCGCGUCUGUAGCAAUACAGAUGGCGCACGGCGCACGGGUGCGUAACACGUGGGUAAUCUGCCCUUCGAAGGGGAAUAACUCGCCGAAAGGCGAGCUAAUUCCGCAUAACAUUCCGAGAACCUUGGUUUUUGGAUUCAAAGGCGUAAGUCGUCGGAGGAGGAGCCCGCGCACGAUUAGCUAGUUGGUAGGGUAACGGCCUACCAAGGCUAUGAUCGUUAGCUGGUCUGAGAGGAUGGCCCGCCACACUGGAACUGAGACACGGUCCAGACUCCUACGGGAGGCAGCAGUGGGGAAUCUUGCACAAUGGGCGAAAGCCUGAUGCAGCGACGCCGCGUGGGGGAUGAAGCUUUUCCGAGUGUAAACCCCUGUCGACCCGGACGAAUGACCCGCAAGGGGACUGACGGUACGGGUAUAAGAAGCCCCGGCU